RNAcentral lists this ribosomal RNA (496 nucleotides) under uncultured bacterium. Its description in RNAcentral is "partial 16S ribosomal RNA". It matches the Rfam family "Bacterial small subunit ribosomal RNA", at positions 29 to 507 of the family's 1533-position model. The record is from RNAcentral.
AUGAACGCUGGCGGCGUGCCUAAUACAUGCAAGUCGAGCGAACAGACGAGGAGCUUGCUCCUCUGACGUUAGCGGCGGACGGGUGAGUAACACGUGGAUAACCUACCUAUAAGACUGGGAUAACUUCGGGAAACCGGAGCUAAUACCGGAUAAUAUAUUGAACCGCAUGGUUCAAUAGUGAAAGACGGUUUUGCUGUCACUUAUAGAUGGAUCCGCGCCGCAGUAGCUAGUUGGUAAGGUAACGGCUUACCAAGGCGACGAUGCGUAGCCGACCUGAGAGGGUGAUCGGCCACACUGGAACUGAGACACGGUCCAGACUCCUACGGGAGGCAGCAGUAGGGAAUCUUCCGCAAUGGGCGAAAGCCUGACGGAGCAACGCCGCGUGAGUGAUGAAGGUCUUCGGAUCGUAAAACUCUGUUAUUAGGGAAGAACAAAUGUGUAAGUAACUAUGCACGUCUUGACGGUACCUAAUCAGAAAGCCACGGCUAACUACGUG